This 309-nucleotide long non-coding RNA is filed under the name Lathyrus oleraceus (garden pea). RNAcentral's name for it is "Pisum sativum (pea) long non-coding RNA (PSAT_LNC026872)". Lineage: Eukaryota; Viridiplantae; Streptophyta; Magnoliopsida; Fabales; Fabaceae. The record is from RNAcentral.
GACAAUUAUUUUGAGAUGAAGGGAGUAGUAAUUAUAAUUAUAAUGAAAAUAAUAAAGUUUAUAUGAAAAGAUAAAAUUAAAAAUGAUUUUGAUUUGACAAAAAAGGAAGCAACCAUAGUUGUAACAUAUGAUAUUCACUUAAGUGAUAAGCAAACUUUUAACCAUAAAAAAAAAUACAAUAUUAAAAAAGAAGAAGAGAAAUGGGAUAGAAAACAUAAACUUUUAAUAUUUUAUUAGGGAUAAAUUAUAAUUUUUAUUAAAAAAUUAAAUAUAAUAAAUUAUAUUUUAACAUCCCUCUCCUCCCCUCAC